GGGCCCGCACAAGCGGUGGAGUAUGUGGUUUAAUUCGAUGCAACGCGAAGAACCUUACCAGGGUUUGACAUCCUGCGAAUCUCUUGGAAACGAGAGAGUGCCUUCGGGAGCGCAGUGACAGGUGGUGCAUGGCUGUCGUCAGCUCGUGUCGUGAGAUGUUGGGUUAAGUCCCGCAACGAGCGCAACCCACGUCUUUAGUUGCCAGCAUUUAGUUGGGCACUCUAGAGAGACCGCCGGUGAUAAACCGGAGGAAGGUGUGGAUGACGUCAAGUCAUCAUGCCCCUUACAUCCUGGGCUACACACGUACUACAAUGGCCGGUACAGAGGGCAGCCACACCGCAAGGUGGAG
This 349-nucleotide ribosomal RNA is filed under the name uncultured bacterium. RNAcentral describes it as "bacterial SSU rRNA". It matches the Rfam family "Bacterial small subunit ribosomal RNA", at positions 917 to 1267 of the family's 1533-position model. The record is from RNAcentral.